UCCUAUGAGGGAUGGUUGUUUUCUAGUAGGGGAUGUCUCAGUAAUCAUCAAUACCGCAGAAAUCCCCCACUUCCAAACAAACAAUCCUCCUGGCUGAGCCAUGCCUCCGCUUUUGGGAACUUCUCUGCUUUUCAGAGAGCCUGUGUAUCCUCCCAGGUUCCCUGAUAUUGGAAACACAGCUCUCCCAACCGUUAAGGACUUCAACUGUUUAUGACCUGCUGUCGUCAGCUCGAACUCAAAAGAUGACCUGGGAGAAGUUGACUUGAGAAGGGAGUGAGGAGCCAGAAGAGUGGUGGACACGGCCGUGUUCAGAAAGGCACACAUUACUGGCCUAGACUUUUAAACAUGCAAGUAAUUUCAUUUGUAUAAUUGCUCUAUUGAUUUCUAUGUGUUUGCUGAUCAAAAAAGAAGAAUUACUUUCCUGAACAUAAGAUAGAAAAAUGAGCUCUUAGCAUCUAUUUCACAGAGUGAUCAGAUGCACCUUCUAGUUAGGAGGAUCUUAAACCACUGACUGCUGAAAGCCAGGAGCAUGUAUCCAGAGGAGGGUCAUUCUGUUUCUUCACUUUUCUGAAGUGUCUCUUACUAACUGUGGGUGAGAGCAAGGCACUAGUGUUGCAUGGGCUGUGGGUCUGAGCUGGUGUAGCCAUUCCUAGGUUAAUCUCUUAAAGAAGUGGACAACUGGCCAGAUCCUCAGUUAGUAAAAUUCUAUAUAUUUACAGUAAAGAAAUUAAAGCACUUUACAUAAAUUGAGUUUCUAUCCUAGUGUCUUGGAUUUCUUUGAAAGUAGCAACUAUGUAUAGGGACUUACAGAAUUUAAUUCUAGUCUUUAGGAAUGACUUCCAUAAAAGAGUAUCAUCUUCUCAGUCCGUAGCUUUGAAAACUGCUCAUCAGCAAGGAAAGUAAAUUAUCAAAACUAUAUUAAUUAACAUAUCCCAUGUAUGCUUUUGGCUAUCAGAGUUCAUCUGUCUAAAUCGGUAAUUACAUAUUGUUAUCCAUUUACAGAUUAAAAGGUUAUCCCUGCUUUGGGCUUUUCAGGUUGUUUUAUUGGAGCAUAGAUUUGAUUUUGCUGUUAAAUUUUAGAGGCUGAAGUAAUGUCUAUUUUUCUUUCCCCCUGAGAAACAUUGAAAUAUUUCUUGCUUGCAGUUUCAACUCCCUCUUGCACUUUGUACUAAGGACUUGGUGAAUCUAUUUUGAACAAUUCUGUAUGGGGCCUAGAUGCUGGAUGUGCUCCUGUUAUUUCAUUUAUCUUGUUCUCUGAAGUAAUUGAAUGUCCUCUUGCUUGUAUACUUAGUGAAGUAUGGCUGCUAUUACCCUUAGUAACACUGGAGUUUCCUUAUUCAUUAGCAUGACUUUAUGUACAAGGUGUCAAUUAUUUUUUGCACUGAAUGGAUGAAAUGGUCAUCAGUCAGUCACUGUGUAAGUCAAGUUUGUAUCCUAAUGCAUAUUCAAAAGUGCUCAAAUAAAGACAUUUCACGUUCCCCAA
This is a long non-coding RNA of Tyto alba (common barn owl), 1483 nucleotides long. RefSeq lists it as uncharacterized. The transcript has 2 exons. Lineage: Eukaryota; Metazoa; Chordata; Aves; Strigiformes; Tytonidae. The record is from RefSeq and is a predicted model, not a curated record.